GGAGGGCUGCCAGAGCGGUUGAAUGGGCCACUUUCGAAAAGUGUUGUCCUGAUCAUAUCGGGACCGCGAGUUCGAAUCUCGCGCCCUCCG
This 90-nucleotide transfer RNA is filed under the name Candidatus Magasanikbacteria bacterium CG10_big_fil_rev_8_21_14_0_10_43_6. RNAcentral's name for it is "tRNA-Ser". It matches the Rfam family "tRNA". From Rfam's summary of the family: Transfer RNA (tRNA) molecules are approximately 80 nucleotides in length. The record is from RNAcentral. Lineage: Bacteria; Candidatus Magasanikiibacteriota.